RNAcentral lists this ribosomal RNA (507 nucleotides) under Fusarium oxysporum. Its description in RNAcentral is "eukaryotic LSU rRNA". The stretch from base 141 to 294 matches the Rfam family "5.8S ribosomal RNA". RNAcentral also lists the same sequence under 1 other name. The record is from RNAcentral. Lineage: Eukaryota; Fungi; Ascomycota; Sordariomycetes; Hypocreales; Nectriaceae.
CGAGUUCCUCCAACCCCUGUGACAUACCACUUGUUGCCUCGGCGGAUCAGCCCGCUCCCGGUAAAACGGGACGGCCCGCCAGAGGACCCCUAAACUCUGUUUCUAUAUGUAACUUCUGAGUAAAACCAUAAAUAAAUCAAAACUUUCAACAACGGAUCUCUUGGUUCUGGCAUCGAUGAAGAACGCAGCAAAAUGCGAUAAGUAAUGUGAAUUGCAGAAUUCAGUGAAUCAUCGAAUCUUUGAACGCACAUUGCGCCCGCCAGUAUUCUGGCGGGCAUGCCUGUUCGAGCGUCAUUUCAACCCUCAAGCACAGCUUGGUGUUGGGACUCGCGUUAAUUCGCGUUCCCCAAAUUGAUUGGCGGUCACGUCGAGCUUCCAUAGCGUAGUAGUAAAACCCUCGUUACUGGUAAUCGUCGCGGCCACGCCGUUAAACCCCAACUUCUGAAUGUUGACCUCGGAUCAGGUAGGAAUACCCGCUGAACUUAAGCAUAUCAAUAAGCGGAGGAA